UUGCAUCCACAUCACGUUGAAACAUCGGUUCCCAUACCAUCACAAAAAUUAAGCAACACUGAGCCUGGUUAGUACCCAGAUGAGUGACCGCUUGGGAAAACCUAAUGCU
Acanthosepion pharaonis is the source of this 109-nucleotide non-coding RNA. NCBI's taxonomy places the organism in Eukaryota, Metazoa, Mollusca, Cephalopoda, Sepiida, Sepiidae. The record is from the annotation of a GenBank genome assembly.